UCCUGAUUUUUCUGUGGUCCUCUUG
This 25-nucleotide non-coding RNA is filed under the name Rattus norvegicus (Norway rat). Lineage: Eukaryota; Metazoa; Chordata; Mammalia; Rodentia; Muridae. The record is from RNAcentral.